UUAAAAUAUCACCAAACAUGUAUGCACUUGUGGAAUUUUUUAUUUUUGAAGAAGAAGGGAUAUCAGAAAUUGUUCCAGUUGAAAAAUAUUGAAGAGUUUGAUGGGACGUGCGACAAUUUGAAAGAAUGUAUUGUUAAUUGACAGCGCGCAGGGAAAAGAUAUCCCGCCUUUGUCAUGGCUCUGGAUGGCCAGACAAAAGAGAGAGAACGAUGGCUAAACCUGGUCAAUGGCUAAACCUGGUCCAAUGCUCCAUCCCCCUGCCCAACCCCACUCCACGCCAUUCCGCCAACCACCAGGAUGCCCAGCAUCAGAACAUUCCAGGCAUUCCCGUGAUUGGCAGAUAGCAGGUUGAUUGGCAUGUCGGACCCAGCGAACACUGGGUACUGAGUGUAUCACAGAAAAAGAAGAUGGCCAAGUCUGGAAAAAAACAUCAGGUGGAACUAAUGACCAGUAUAUCAUGUCAAGCCAGACCUCAAAGUGACACAGAGAAGGAGGAGGACCUGAGGAGGACCAGGAAAUGCAAAUGCAGCUAACCACUGCAAACUUUCAAAUAAGGGAGCUCUAACGAGAAAAUGCAGCACUCAGACAAUCUCUCUGUGGCUGAAGACAUGGCUGGUGGAUCCACACCCUUCUUCCAACCCCCAAAAGCAGCACUCCAAGACAUAGCCGUCACAACCCUCCCAGACAGCAUGCUCACAGCUUCAUUGCAUCCCUACCAGAGAGGCUGCUACACAGAGGUGCGGUACCAUAAUCUCUCUGGUUCCUUGCCAAACAAAGUUUCAAGCACUGUCUCACUUUGAAAGUUAAGAGUUUGGGAUGAAGAGUUGAGCCGCAUUGAGUAGUAGAGGUCAUGGAAGACACUAACAAUACAGGUACAAAAUUCCAUACAGAAUACAUUAUGACUCACUUCACACUUCAUUUCUAUAACUGUGCAACGAUUACUCUGCCGGGGGAAAAAAUAAAAAGUUAAACAAAGCUUUGAUCUCUCCUCACUCCAAAUCCAGAGAGCUUCCAGAAUUGGCGGCCGACCAGAUUGUUGCUGGCUAGUAUACCCAAUGUUUGUUGUUUACCAAGGACACUACAAAGCCUUAUGAAUUAUCGCAUAAUGUAUACCGCUGACAACGAUCUGAAGAAUCUGCUUUGUUGACUGCAUUCAAUUUGAUAACCAAAUUAAUUUAUUCAACACUUUUGUGUGUUUUUGUUUAUGCUGUGCACGGACAGAAUAAAG
Long non-coding RNA from Oncorhynchus tshawytscha (Chinook salmon), 1228 nucleotides. The record is from Ensembl. Lineage: Eukaryota; Metazoa; Chordata; Actinopteri; Salmoniformes; Salmonidae.